Carya illinoinensis is the source of this 823-nucleotide long non-coding RNA. RefSeq lists it as uncharacterized. The record is from RefSeq and is a predicted model, not a curated record. The transcript has 2 exons. NCBI's taxonomy places the organism in Eukaryota, Viridiplantae, Streptophyta, Magnoliopsida, Fagales, Juglandaceae.
UCAGAUUUAUUUUUUCAAAAAUAAGUUAAUUUGAAAAAAAAAACGAUUUUUUUAAUUGGGCCUCUAUCGAUGUCUCCGACGCCUCGUGAGCCCAAGCCCGAUUAUUUUUUGAGACAUUUGACAGUAAACCCUAAUUUUCCUUGGCAGCGGCCGCAGAAGCUGCCUUUCCAUAAACCACGUCUAUUCUCAGCCGCCCGAUUGACAUCUAACCGCACAGAUCCAAUGCAAUAUCAGCUAUAAAUAACCCUCAAAACCCCCGAAGGAUGUCAGUCUUGGGGGAUUAGGGUUCAUCUAUCAUGCUUGCCGUCUUCUAGGUCCUAGUCUCUCUCUUCUUUUUGCCAUAUCCUGAUUAUCAUGAAUCGCUGUUUGCCGUCUUAGACAGUAUCAAGAGCACAGUAAAUUGAUCCCAGAAUGAUGUGGAUGGGGGGCAUGAUUCGGACGAAGUACCGCAAAUUGUCCCAGAAUGAUGUGGAAAUCUGUAGAUAUGCUUGUAAUUAGAAUGCAUAAUGAUGUAAUUUUUUUUAUCAUCUGGUUUCUUUAUAAGUCUCUGCUUUCUCAGCUGGGUAACUUGAAUUACCAUCGGAGGGAUUGGCAUUGCAAAUGUUAAAUGCAAGCAUGUGUUGUUCAUCAAUGGCAAUAUCGGGGAAUUUAAGAUUGGAUACUAACGGUUGGCUGCAACGUGGUGUUCAUCGAUGAUGGAGAAAUCUAAUGAUAUUAGGUUAGAAUAAGCUUUUUCACCUAGGGAAAUAUGUACCCGAGGAUCGCCAGUUAUUUCUUCCUUGUAAAAAGUUUGAUUAAUAAUAAAUUAUGGGUCUCUCCUGGA